UGAAACCGUGUGCCUACAACCGCUCAGAGCCCCUUAUGAGGGUGAUGAGGUGCUUUUUGUAGAACGAGCCAACGAGUUACGGUAUGUAGCAAGGUUAAGUACUUAAGGUACGGAGCCGAAGGGAAACCGAGUCUGAAUAGGGCGACUAGUUGCAUGCCGUAGACCCGAAACCGGGUGACCUAUCCAUGGCCAGGUUGAAGCGAGGGUAAAACCUCGUGGAGGACCGAACCACGUUGCUGUUGAAAAAGCAUGGGAUGAGCUGUGGAUAGCGGAGAAAUUCCAAUCGAACCCGGAGAUAGCUGGUUCUCUCCGAAAUAGCUUUAGGGCUAGCGUCGAGUAUGAGUAGUGGAGGUAGAGCACUGAAUGGGCUAGGGGGCAUAGCGCUUACCGAACCUUAUCAAACUCCGAAUGCCACAUACUUUGAGCUCGGCAGUCAGACUACGAAUGAUAAGAUCCGUGGUCAAAAGGGAAACAGCCCAGAUCGUCAGCUAAGGUCCCAAAGUGUAAGUUAAGUGGGAAAGGAUGUGAGAUUUCUAAGACAACUAGGAUGUUGGCUUAGAAGCAGCCAUUCAUUAAAAGAGUGCGUAAUAGCUCACUAGUCGAGAGAUCUUGCGCCGAAAAUGUAACGGGGCUAAACUUACC
Molecule: ribosomal RNA, 642 nt
Filed under: Clostridium perfringens
Lineage: Bacteria; Bacillati; Bacillota; Clostridia; Eubacteriales; Clostridiaceae
Description: partial 23S ribosomal RNA
Rfam family: Bacterial large subunit ribosomal RNA
Source: RNAcentral